This 440-nucleotide ribosomal RNA is filed under the name uncultured bacterium. RNAcentral describes it as "partial 16S ribosomal RNA". It matches the Rfam family "Bacterial small subunit ribosomal RNA", at positions 338 to 795 of the family's 1533-position model. The record is from RNAcentral.
CCUACGGGAGGCAGCAGUAGGGAAUAUUGCUCAAUGGGGGAAACCCUGAAGCAGCAACGCCGCGUGGAGGAUGAAGGUUUUCGGAUUGUAAACUCCUUUUGUUAGAGAAGAUAAUGACGGUAUCUAACGAAUAAGCACCGGCUAACUCCGUGCCAGCCGCCGCGGUAAUACGGAGGGUGCAAGCGUUACUCGGAAUCACUGGGCGUAAAGAGCGCGUAGGCGGGAUAGCAAGUCAGAUGUGAAAUCCUAGGGCUUAACCAUAGAAGUGCAUUUGAAACUGUUAUGCUAGAGUAUGGGAGAGGUAGGUGGAAUUCGUGGUGUAGGGGUAAAAUCCGUAGAGAUCAAGAAGAAUACUCAUUGCGAAGGCGACCUGCUAGAACAUAACUGACGCUGAUGCGCGAAAGCGUGGGGAGCAAACAGGAUUAGAUACCCUUGUAGUC